This 497-nucleotide ribosomal RNA is filed under the name uncultured bacterium. RNAcentral describes it as "partial 16S ribosomal RNA". It matches the Rfam family "Bacterial small subunit ribosomal RNA", at positions 28 to 507 of the family's 1533-position model. The record is from RNAcentral.
GACGAACGCUGGCGGCGUGCCUAAUACAUGCAAGUUGAGCGCUGAAGGUUGGUACUUGUACCAACUGGAUGAGCAGCGAACGGGUGAGUAACGCGUGGGGAAUCUGCCUUUGAGCGGGGGACAACAUUUGGAAACGAAUGCUAAUACCGCAUAAAAACUUUAAACACAAGUUUUAAGUUUGAAAGAUGCAAUUGCAUCACUCAAAGAUGAUCCCGCGUUGUAUUAGCUAGUUGGUGAGGUAAAGGCUCACCAAGGCGAUGAUACAUAGCCGACCUGAGAGGGUGAUCGGCCACAUUGGGACUGAGACACGGCCCAAACUCCUACGGGAGGCAGCAGUAGGGAAUCUUCGGCAAUGGACGAAAGUCUGACCGAGCAACGCCGCGUGAGUGAAGAAGGUUUUCGGAUCGUAAUACUCUGUUGGUAGAGAAGAACGUUGGUGAGAGUGGAAAGCUCAUCAAGUGACGGUAACUACCCAGAAAGGGACGGCUAACUACGUG